This 329-nucleotide unclassified non-coding RNA is filed under the name uncultured Nectriaceae. RNAcentral describes it as "sequence contains ITS1". The stretch from base 1 to 105 matches the Rfam family "5.8S ribosomal RNA", at positions 50 to 154 of the family's 154-position model. The record is from RNAcentral. Lineage: Eukaryota; Fungi; Ascomycota; Sordariomycetes; Hypocreales; Nectriaceae.
GAAAUGCGAUAAGUAAUGCGAAUUGCAGAAUUCAGUGAAUCAUCGAAUCUUUGAACGCACAUUGCGCCCGCCAGAACUCUGGCGGGCAUGCCUGUUCGAGCGUCAUCAACACCACUCAAGCCCCCGGGCUUGGCGUUGGGGAUCGGCAGCCGGCGCGGCGCCCCUCCGGGGGCACCGCCCGCCGUCCCCCAAAUACAUCGGCGGCCGUCCGCGGGCUUCCAAUGCGUAGUAGCAACACCUCGCACCGGAAGCCCCGAGCGUCCACGCCGUAAAACCCCCGACCUUUACCGGUUGACCUCGAAUCAGGUAGGACUACCCGCUGAACUUAA